AAGUCGGAGGAAGGUGGGGAUGACGUCAAAUCAUCAUGCCCCUUAUGACCUGGGCUACACACGUGCUACAAUGGGCGGUACAAAGGGCUGCGAACCCGCGAGGGGGAGCGAAUCCCAAAAAGCCGCUCUCAGUUCGGAUUGCAGGCUGCAACUCGCCUGCAUGAAGCCGGAAUCGCUAGUAAUCGCGGAUCAGCAUGCCGCGGUCGAAUACGUCCCGGGCCUU
Molecule: ribosomal RNA, 223 nt
Filed under: uncultured Geobacillus sp.
Lineage: Bacteria; Bacillati; Bacillota; Bacilli; Caryophanales; Anoxybacillaceae
Description: partial 16S ribosomal RNA
Rfam family: Bacterial small subunit ribosomal RNA
Source: RNAcentral